Molecule: unclassified non-coding RNA, 335 nt
Filed under: soil metagenome
Description: partial contains 5.8S ribosomal RNA, internal transcribed spacer 2, and large subunit ribosomal RNA
Rfam family: 5.8S ribosomal RNA (bases 1-120)
Source: RNAcentral
GAUGAAGAACGUAGCGAAAUGCGAUAAGUAAUGUGAAUUGCAGAAUUCAGUGAAUCAUCGAAUCUUUGAACGCACAUUGCGCCCGCCAGUAUUCUGGCGGGCAUGCCUGUUCGAGCGUCAUUUCAACCAUCAAGCCCCCGGCUUGUGUUGGGGACCUGCGGCUGCCGCAGGCCCUGAAAACCAGUGGCGGGCUCGCUAGUCACUCCGAGCGUAGUAAUACAUCUCGCUCAGGGCGUNNUGCGGGUUCCGGCCGUUAAAAAGCCUUAUUUACCCAAGGUUGACCUCGGAUCAGGUAGGAAGACCCGCUGAACUUAAGCAUAUCAAUAAGCGGAGGA